CGGCAACAGCUCAAAUUUGAAAUCUGGCCUCUUUCGGGGUCCGAGUUGUAAUUUGUAGAGGAUGUUUUGGGUACCGCGCUGGUUUAAAUUUCUUGGAACAGAAUGUCAGAGAGGGUGAGAAUCCCGUCUU
Molecule: ribosomal RNA, 130 nt
Filed under: Exophiala pisciphila
Lineage: Eukaryota; Fungi; Ascomycota; Eurotiomycetes; Chaetothyriales; Herpotrichiellaceae
Also listed under: 1 other name
Description: partial large subunit ribosomal RNA
Rfam family: Eukaryotic large subunit ribosomal RNA
Source: RNAcentral